RNAcentral lists this ribosomal RNA (442 nucleotides) under uncultured bacterium. RNAcentral describes it as "partial 16S ribosomal RNA". It matches the Rfam family "Bacterial small subunit ribosomal RNA", at positions 338 to 795 of the family's 1533-position model. The record is from RNAcentral.
CCUACGUGUGGCAGCAGUGAGGAAUAUUGCACAAUGGGGGAAACCCUGAUGCAGCGAGGCCGCGUGGGGGAAGAAGUAUUUCGGUAUGUAAAGCCGUAUCAACAGGGAAGAAGCAGUGACAGUACCUGAGUAAGAUUCACCGGCUAAAUACGUGCCAGCAGCCGCGGUAAUACGUAUGGUGCAAGGGUUAAUCGGAAUUACUGGGCGUAAAGUGCUCGUAGGCGGUAUGUAAAGUCAAGGGUGAAAUCCCCGGGCUCAACGUGGGAACUGCCUUUGAAACUGGCAAACUGGAGUGUGCGAGAGGAUAGUGGAAUUCCAGGUGUAGGAGUGAAAUCCGUAGAUAUCAGGAGGAACAUCAGUGGCGAAGGCGACUAUCUGGCACAUAACUGACGCUGAGGAGCGAAAGCGUGGGUAGCAAACAGGAUUAGAUACCCCUGUAGUC